CUCGGGGGCCUCCAUGUUCCACCAUGGGCAGGGGCUGCUCUCCAUCGGGGCUCACGCGGUCGCUGCCCUGACCUUGACCUUGGCUGACCUCGAGGGCUGGGACAGCGCCCCCUGCUGGAGCCUCUUCACCCUGUGCAGUGUCCCCCCCGCUCUCCUUGAGCUGCUGCUGCUGAUCUCAGUCUUGGGGGGCCGGAGGAGAGCAGCUUAA
This is a long non-coding RNA of Melopsittacus undulatus (budgerigar), 208 nucleotides long. RefSeq lists it as uncharacterized. The record is from RefSeq and is a predicted model, not a curated record. The transcript has 3 exons. Lineage: Eukaryota; Metazoa; Chordata; Aves; Psittaciformes; Psittaculidae.